RNAcentral lists this ribosomal RNA (291 nucleotides) under uncultured bacterium. Its description in RNAcentral is "partial 16S ribosomal RNA". It matches the Rfam family "Bacterial small subunit ribosomal RNA", at positions 335 to 644 of the family's 1533-position model. The record is from RNAcentral.
ACCCUACGGGAGGCAGCAGUGGGGAAUAUUGCACAAUGGGGGAAACCCUGAUGCAGCGACGCCGCGUGAGUGAAGAAGUAUUUCGGUAUGUAAAGCUCUAUCAGCAGGGAAGAAAAUGACGGUACCUGACUAAGAAGCCCCGGCUAACUACGUGCCAGCAGCCGCGGUAAUACGUAGGGGGCAAGCGUUAUCCGGAUUUACUGGGUGUAAAGGGAGCGUAGACGGUGUGGCAAGUCUGAAGUGAAAGCCCGGGGCUCAACCCCGAGACUGCUUUGGAAACUGUCAUGCUGG